GUCGGGAAUAUUGCUCAAUGGGCGCAAGCCUGAAGCAGCAACGCCGCGUGCGCGAUGAAGGCCUUCGGGUCGUAAAGCGCUUUUUGGUGGGAUGAGGAAGGACAGUACCGCCAGAAUAAGGUACGGCUAACUACGUGCCAGCAGCCGCGGUAAAACGUAGGUACCGAGCGUUAUCCGGAUUUACUGGGCGUAAAGCGUGUGCAGGCGGUCGUGCAAGUCGGGCAUGAAAGCCCCUGGCUCAACUAGGGGAAGCUGUCUGAUACUGCAUGACUUGAGGGCUCGAGAGGGCGAUGGAAUUCCGCAUGUAGUGGUGAAAUGCGUAGAGAUGCGGAGGAACACCAGUGGCGAAAGCGGUCGCCUGGCGAGCCCCUGACGCUCAGACACGAAAGCUAGGGGAGCGAACGGGAUUAGAAACCCGGGUAGUCC
Molecule: ribosomal RNA, 426 nt
Filed under: uncultured bacterium
Lineage: Bacteria
Description: bacterial SSU rRNA
Rfam family: Bacterial small subunit ribosomal RNA
Source: RNAcentral